Triticum aestivum (bread wheat) is the source of this 6207-nucleotide RNA transcript. RefSeq lists it as uncharacterized. NCBI's taxonomy places the organism in Eukaryota, Viridiplantae, Streptophyta, Magnoliopsida, Poales, Poaceae. The transcript is spliced from 19 exons. The record is from RefSeq and is a predicted model, not a curated record.
CCUAUCCGCCUCCCCUCCUCUCUCCCAACGACCAGACCAGAGCCAGAGAUCUGCCUCCCUCCCUCCCCUCCCCGAGCGCGACGGCUAGGGUUCCUCGCCGCCGCCGGCCCGCCGCCGUUCCUCUGCGGCGCGCCCAGCCGGCCGAGGCCCCCGCCGCCCCGCCGCCCGCACCGGAGCCCAGCAGCGCCUCCCUCCCUCCCUCCCGCCCUGCCGCGGCUGGUCCCGCCGCCUGGAGCGACCCCGGCGACCGGUCCAUAGGUAGCCGGUUGCGCCCUCUGGUGGUGGAUCUCGGGCCAACUAUUCUGGAUGCAUCUAUGACAUGGUGGACAAGGCAGCAGAAACGAGUCAGCGUGAGGUGGCAGCCGAGGGAGUUGUUUUGUGGGAUGAAGCAUUGGUAAAGACAAGCCCAGAGGAUCUGCAGAUGCGUUGCAAGGAGUUGCGCUGUUAUAAUGACAUCACUGUCAUGUGUUUGAAGAAAGAUGUUAACUGUGACCUGGAAAAGGAUGGUUUGUGGCCAAAAAUUGAAGCUGAGGUCUCUACUCCUGCCCACCAAGAUUCAGUUCCUUUGAAUUUUGGGUGUAACCUUGCUGUUUGUUUGGAUGGCAAGGCUGGUGAGAUUGGUGAAGUAUCUGAACACAGAACUGGCAUGGAGAGAGCGGCUUGUGGCUCACAGGGAGGAGGUAUGCUGUCAUUUGACCGUGGAUUCUGGAAGGGGGCUGUUGGAGACAAGAAUCAGUUUCCCAGGAUGGAAGGAUGCCAUGAAAAUGGGGGCUUGUCAGAUUUGGGAAACCAUGACACUGACAAGUUUCCACAAGGUGCUGAUGCCCUGAGUUUGAUCGAUGAUAAUCAUGAGCUGGGAAGGGAUUGUUUUCUGGCAAAUAUCGAUGAAGAGGUGUCCUUCCCCGUUGAUGAAGCUUCGAUCCCUUCCUUCUACCAGAAGAGCUAUAUGGAUGUUUUUGUAGAAGAUAGCAAGUCAUGCAUAGAGAAAUUAACUCAAGAUUCACUGGAAGGAGAUAUGCUUUCAUGUGAGCGCGAUGCCAGAUUUCGUACUGAGGCUUCUGGAGACGAGAAUCAACAUCAUAGGAUGGCGGUGUCAAAGGGUCAGGUUUCAUCUAUUUGUAAAGAUGCAAAUAGUCCGAGUUUAAAUGCUUGUGGUCUCUUUCCUGAAAUAGAAGUUCUACGCCAACAGGCUGACAAAGAAUACAAGGUCUUUGAACUACCCCCAGAGAUAUACCUGGCUAGAUCUUCCUAUAACCCACCUUGCCUAGAUGGACUUUGUCGUAGUGGCAAGGAAUCAUCUGCUGUGUGCCUGGGCCAUCAAGAUUCUUCUGGUGUCAAAUCACGUUGUCCAGAUCAUUUGGUACAAGAGCUCAAUGCAUAUAACUCUUCCAUUGACAAACCUUGCUCUGCCAAUUUUGUUGAAACUGCCAAUGAUGAAGAAUCACAAAAUAAAAUUUCGGAGUCAUUAAAUGCCUCCAAGCGUAGGAAUCCAAGAAGAGCCGCCUCAUCAAGAAAUCGCGCUCCUGCGGAACAUGAUCAUCAAAUAAACAAAGGAAGCAGUAGCACAUGCAAAUCUAAGAAGGUUGAGAGUUCGUGCUCAUUAGUUGAAAGCACCUUGAUUAAGUUCCCAAGCAAAACUACCAAGGUAAGAAGUGGCAUCAACAGACCAGUGAAUUCGACUGCCUGGGGCAGUCUAGAAAAGCUGGUGGAUGGUUUUGGUCAGAACUGUGAACCUUCUACCUCUAAUUCUCAUCUGAUUUCCCUUGAAAAUGGUGGGAGAUCAAACAAAAGAUCUGGGAAGAAAGAGCAGCCCAUUGUUCGAAAGGCUCGAAGUUCAAGAUGUCCAAAAAAUAAGUUCCCUGCCUUUUCUGUUACCAGAUAUGCACCGGAUGAAUUGAAUGGCGAACCUACCUUUUCAGUCAUGGAUGGUGCUUAUGGCUCCGCAGAAGGUUACAUAGGAAACUUCCCUAAGUUGGCUCCUCGUGCAUUUCUCAAUGUUUCUGAUGAUGCUCACAGAUCUGUGCAACAUAUGUCUAUCCAGACUGACAUGCAGCAGUUAGACAGGUGCUUGGAUAGUGUUGCUCAAGAAACAUGUCCUGCGUACAUGUGUGGAGAGUUUGCUAAAUCAAUUUCCGAACCUUCUCUUAAUAAUGGCGGUGUUGGAUUUUCACCCGACUCUGUUUUGGAGGUAGCCUCUGUUACAUGUGAAAACAACACCUCUGCAAGCCAUGAUGUUAAACUGCGUGGGAACCCAUCUUAUCCUGCUGUAUUGACCGAAAGUGAUCUUCAUGCAUCUGAUUUAUCUAUUCCUGACUUUGGAAAAAAUCAUGCGUCAUCAUCAACAGAUUUUGAGCAGCAGCCCAAAACUGUGAGGGGUGAUGAGAACACAAGAAGCGAAGAGAUUAAUCAGUCUCAUGCCAUAAUUGGUUAUGUUGGUGAGGGAAAAGUGCAAGGCUUAGAGAAGUCCAAUGCAGUGAGGAAAACUAAGAUGUUGGAAAAGCAGAAAGGCCGAAAGAAAGAUGGAAUAAAGGGAAAUAACAUAAGGGAUGGAAGUUCCACCAAAAUUUCAUCAAGUGAAGCUUCAAAAUACAGGGUCUUCUCCGAUGAUCCAUCUUCACUUGUUUCAUCAGGACCUUUAAAGUUCAGUUCUUGUUUUGAGGUCGUAACUUCUGCCACACAGGGUAUCAGUAUGCAUGAACAUGGCUGGGUGCAGGGUCCUUCUGUAAUUGGCAAGGAGAAAACGAGUGCACUUAACAAUGUAAAAUCACCGAGGUGCAAGAAAAGUGGUGGUCUUAGAGGGAAGAAGGAUAUGGUGCGGGAUCCACAUGUGAAGCAAGAAAGCAAGAAGAAAAAUAUAGCAGAUGCCAUUUUCAUUGAUUCUGGAUCGUCUACUUUACCUUAUCAGCUCGCUACUGAUCUGGCAACAUCUCAUACGAAUGAACACGGUUAUCGUAGUCCAGCUAUUGAAUAUACAUUUCAGAAUCCAGCCGCUAUAUCUACCGAAUUACCUGGAAAUGCUGCUGGCUCAACAGGUGGGGUAUCUGUACCGCAGCCUAAACGUGCUGCAUGGGCAUGUUGUGAUGAUUGCCAAAAGUGGCGCUGCAUACCAUCUGAAUUGGCAGACGUCAUUGGAGAAAACAGAUGGACUUGCAAGGACAAUGAUGACAAGGCGUUUGCUGAUUGUUCUAUACCACAAGCGAAGACAAACGCUGAGAUCAAUGCUGAGCUUGAACUUUCAGAUGCUUCUGCUGAUGAAGCUGACAAGGAUGGAUCAAACUCAAAAGCUUCUAGGGCACCGUCCUGGACAAAUCUUAGAUCGAACACAUAUCUACAUCGUAACCGAAGGAAUCAAUCCAUCGAUGAGAGCAUGGUAUGCAACUGCAAGCCUCCUCAAGAAGGCCGAAUGGGUUGUAGAGAUGGCUGUUUGAACAGAAUGCUCAACAUUGAAUGUGCAAAACGUACAUGUCCAUGCGAGGAGCAAUGUUCUAAUCAGCAGUUUCAAAGGCGCAACUAUGCAAAAAUUGCAUGGUUCCAUUCUGGUAAGAAGGGCUAUGGAUUGAAGUUGCAAGAAGAAGUAUCUGAAGGGCGGUUCCUUAUUGAAUAUGUUGGCGAGGUCCUUGAUAUAACGACUUAUGAAUCCCGCCAAAGAGAUUAUGCUUCUAAGGGCAAGAAGCAUUUCUACUUUAUGGCACUAGAUGGUGGUGAGGUAAUAGAUGCCUGCACCAAGGGAAACUUGGGCCGGUUCAUCAACCAUAGCUGCAGUCCUAAUUGUCGCACAGAGAAGUGGAUGGUUAAUGGAGAAGUUUGCAUUGGAAUUUUUGCUAUGAGGAACAUCAAAAAGGGUGAAGAAUUAACGUUUGAUUACAACUAUGUUCGUGUAUCUGGUGCUGCUCCUCAAAAAUGUUUUUGUGGCACUGCCAAAUGCCGGGGUUACAUUGGUGGAGACAUAUCAGGGUCUGGUAUCAGCACCCAACAUGUUGCAGAAGCAGAGUAUUUUGAACCCACGGUCACUUACAAGGAUGCCGAGGAAAUGCUAGGAAAUGCAUGUUCUCAUGGUGCAAAUCCUAUUGUUGUUGAGCUUGAGCAUGAAACCUCCAUCCAACAAGAAGAUUCAAAUAACUGCAUACCUGUAACCCCAGACUCUGAACCUCACCAAACUUCCCCUGUAACCCCAGACUCUGAACCUCACCAAACUUCCCCUAUCUUAUUUGAAAAUAGUGAGCUAGAAAAUUCCUGGGAAAUGUGGAGCCCCCAGGAUGCCGAAGACCCCACCCGUACACCUGUCCAUGUGCCCAGAACAAUAGAUAGUACUUUGCAGCAGUUACCAGUAUAUGACACUCAGCCAUUAGAAUUCUUGCCGAAGGCUCCUAACACAAUGGAUGGAUCAGAGGCUCCAAAUGUGAUGAAUCAAUCAGCACGUAGCUCCGAUUUGGGGCAAAACCUGGUGGUACCUGGUUUCCAUGCUAAGAAGAAAAACAAUCUAAAAGAUCAGAGAGAUGUAAAAUCAUCAUCAUGUUCUACUGACAAUGAAAAUACUCUGGGAGUUGAAGCAAGACUGAACAACCUACUGGAUCGAGAUGGAGGUAUUAGCAGACGAAAAGAUUCAACAAAUGGAUAUUUGAGGCUGCUUCUAUUUGUGACCGCAGCAGCACGUGACAAUGCCGCGGCCGCAGCGGCACGUGACAAUGCCGCGGCCUCAGCGGCACGUGACAAUGCGGCGGCCGCAGCAGCAUAUGAUGCGACCGCAAUGGAACAUGAAAAUGCUGCGACCCCAGCAGAACGUGACAAUGCUGGGGGCACAUCUAAAAGUGCAAGGGAUCUGUCGUUAAUUCUUGAUGCACUUCUAAAAACAAAAUCACGCUCAGUCCUGUUGGAUAUCAUCAAUACGAAUGGAUUGCAAAUGCUUCAUAAUAUAUUGAAGCAGAAUCGAGACACCUUUCUUCGAAGACCUAUAAUACGGAAGCUUCUGAAGGUGUUGGAGUUUCUUGCUUUGAAGGGAAUCCUGAGAGCUGAAAAAAUAAAUGAAGAAGCCCCACGUGAGGAAAUGGAAAGAUUCAGGGACUCGAUGUUGAAAUUGACCCGGCAUAGUGAUAAACAGGUCCAAACUAUUGCUCGGCACUUCUGUGAGAAGUGGAUCCAUCCUUAUAUGGAUGGACCUGUUUCAACUUCAAAAUGGUGUACAGAUUCAUAUUCCAAUAGAAGAAAGCGCAAGAGCCGUUGGGAUUAUCAACCAGAAUCCCACUAUAAAAUGGUUGGAUCACUAGUUCGGAAAGUCUAUGGAGAAUUGGGUCUUCAGGCUGGCUUGACCAGAAAUAGGUCGCAGCCUGUGAUGGGAAGCAGCUCAACAGGCACAGACGAUGAUGUGCCUCCUGGGUUUGAGCCUCAGCAGGGUCGUUCUGUAGCUCCAGGAUUCUGCCACCCUAACUUGAAUAUUUCAUAUGGGAUUCCCAUCGCUCAUGUUCAGCACUUGGGAACCCCAGAAGUUGAAGGAGGUGGCAACCGUGGCCAGAAAUGGAAAGUCGCACCUGGUGUGCCUUUUAUUCCUUUCCCACAGUUGCGACGAGGGAGUCCUUGUCCUUCUACUUCAACUCAGAUGUCCUGUCAUGACGCCAUGAGGCAGAACAACAGUUCAGGACAUCGAGGAAGAGGUUUCGACAGAGGUGGAAGGGUGCAAAGGAAUGGGAGGAAUGGGGCAAGAACGAGAUAUCCGUAUGAUCAUCAAGGAAGAAGAUUCCCAAGCAAUCAUCAUAGAUCUGAAAGAUGGCAGCCCUGGCCCGACGAACAUGAUGGUGGUUCAGGAUCUAGGGGCAGACAAUGAAUGACCCAGCCCCUGGCAUCGAACAUCAAUUAGUUGUGUGUAUACAUGGUAAUUCCUUCCUGUUCAUCAGAAGUGUACACAAGCAAACUGUGUUAGCUUCUCAUUCUAUGUAACAGAAGUUUUCUACUGAUUCCAACAGUAGCAGAACAUGUGCUACAGAUAGGCCAAAAUUGCUAAUUCAUUCGUUGUCAACUUCUUGAUGUUCAGUGUGAGCGGCAAUCAAUCGGAGGAAGGACUAGUACGAUUUUCAUUGUAAUUUUAAUUUUUUUUACUGGUCGUUCUGCCUCCAAUUGUCUUUCUUUGUACUGGCCGUUUUUCUGGAUAAUAAUUAUCAGUUCUAAGAUGCCCUUCGGGUGUCUUUCUUGAAGAAAAAAACUUCUUGAUGUCCA